Long non-coding RNA from Lutra lutra (Eurasian river otter), 236 nucleotides. RefSeq lists it as uncharacterized. The transcript is spliced from 3 exons. Lineage: Eukaryota; Metazoa; Chordata; Mammalia; Carnivora; Mustelidae. The record is from RefSeq and is a predicted model, not a curated record.
UGGGGAAAGAGAGGUUUGAGGGAGUCCAAAUCUCAGGAUGAUGUGUUCAAUGAGAACCGUGGUGACCACAUCUGCUGUUUCCCUAGUGGUGGGGAAUGCCUCAAUCCAGCCUGUGAAGGUGUCCACGAGAGUUAGCACCAGGUGGUAGAGUUGGAGACAGGAAGGAAUGAGUUGUGCCAAGGAUUUGUGGCUGACUAAGUCCAUCAGUCGGUGGGGGGAGAAGACCAUGAGGGGCU